This is a long non-coding RNA of Vanessa tameamea, 657 nucleotides long. RefSeq lists it as uncharacterized. The transcript is spliced from 2 exons. The record is from RefSeq and is a predicted model, not a curated record. Lineage: Eukaryota; Metazoa; Arthropoda; Insecta; Lepidoptera; Nymphalidae.
UUACAUUUUUUGUUGACAGUUCAAUUGAAAAUAUGGAUUUCACAGUUUUACAGCGCAAUCCUAAGAGGCAGACAGAUGUUAGUUACGAGUACCUAACACGGAUGUCAAUUAUUCACAUACUGAUAGGCAAGUUAUAGUAAGUACAUUGAAUACAUUACUUUGAAGAUCAAGGACGGUUUUUAUCAAGACAUAGUAAGACAACUAAUCGAGGCGUGGUCGGAGAUAUUGUAUAUAAAUCAGAGCAUUUGCUCAACAGAUAUCACUUGUGAAAACUCUUCCAAGCAACUCCAUAACAAUGUUCUUCAAACUGUUCGCUUUAUUUGCCCUCGUGGCGGUGGCUUUCGCCAACCCUAAGCCCGAGCCUCAAGUUUUAUCCUACGGUGCUGGACUCUUACCUUCCUACCCUUACUAUUCAUCUGGUAUCUACGCCGCUGCUGCUCCUUACAACGCACUACCCUACGCUUACAACGGAUACUUUCUUCGCUAAGACUAAACUAUGAGGCCACCAGAUCGCCAGGCAUUUUAAGAUUUCCUAAAAUAAUUGUAAUUCCUUUGUUUUAAGAAAUUUUAUAUGCUCACGCUAUGGUGACCUUAGCCGACUUCUCGCUAGAUCAAUGAAUUUGAAAUGCCUAACGUUUAAAUAAAUUUUUAUGCAUA